CGGUGGAUGCCUUGGCACUAGGAGCCGAUGAAGGACGGAACUAAUACCGAUAUCUUCGGGGAGCUAUAAGUAAGCUGAUCCGUA
Molecule: ribosomal RNA, 84 nt
Filed under: Lacticaseibacillus casei
Lineage: Bacteria; Bacillati; Bacillota; Bacilli; Lactobacillales; Lactobacillaceae
Description: Lactobacillus casei partial 23S ribosomal RNA
Source: RNAcentral